Molecule: long non-coding RNA, 899 nt
Organism: Salmo salar (Atlantic salmon)
Lineage: Eukaryota; Metazoa; Chordata; Actinopteri; Salmoniformes; Salmonidae
Source: RefSeq, a predicted model, not a curated record
UCUUCCGGUCACAUUACAUCAGGCAAGAGGAACAUGGAGCGUAUGGCUGAUUACAGACGCAUGGCGCAAACUGUGCAGACUAAACUCGAAUUUUGUUUACCCGUAUUGUUUGAUAGACGCUAAAAUACUAUGCAUUGAAAACUGUAGUGAGUGAAUGUCAACUAAUUCCUAUUAUGUAAUUUGGCAAUGAGGUUAGUAAAAGGCCCAGUAGCUAAUGGCUACCUAGCUACUUACGACUCGUUCAAGGAAAGUCGGAGGCCAUUACGAGCACCACAAUCAUGUGCGGAGACUGCGCACGUGGUCAGCAGCAUGGUCCUCUUGAGUCCACGUUGGGACCAUGGAACCCCUUGUGUUCUCUUGAGGGAAUCGUCGAGUUAAUGUGGCUUAAGUCUUGGAGCAGGUGAAGUGUAAGCCAUUAACAGCGAUUAACAGCGUGGCUCCUUUCCACGAAGGAACCCUGCAUCAUUCAGGUUUCCCUCAAAGAUGUGAAGAUGCAGUCAUGGAACAAGUCCUGUGUCCAAUGUAGUGAAAAAUGAAUACCAUGGAGAGACUUCAACUACUACAACUCAAUUUAUUGAACAUUAUUAAAUUGUCCUGUAAAGUGUCAUUUGUAGUGGAAUGUUUGGUGUUCAUGUAUAUUGUAACUGUAUGCACUGUCUUUGAACCAGCGGAGCCCUCUCCAUGGCUCCGUAGGCCAAGCUACAGCUGCAAGAGCAAAUCAAAGGCUUGUUAUAACUGGGGUUACUUGGCAUUUCAUCCCAAGUUUCUCUUUUAAAUGCAACUCACAUCUAAUCACUAUUUGUCAUGUGUGUAUUCUGAUCUUCAAUCUGAAUAUGCUUCCUAAGGCAUCCCUUCCCUCAUUUUAGAGCUACAAGGAAUAAACCAGUAUAUAUUGUUAA